RNAcentral lists this ribosomal RNA (492 nucleotides) under uncultured bacterium. RNAcentral describes it as "partial 16S ribosomal RNA". It matches the Rfam family "Bacterial small subunit ribosomal RNA", at positions 29 to 507 of the family's 1533-position model. The record is from RNAcentral.
AGUGAACGCUGGCGGUAGGCCUAACACAUGCAAGUCGAACGGCAGCACAGUAAGAGCUUGCUCUUACGGGUGGCGAGUGGCGGACGGGUGAGGAAUACAUCGGAAUCUACUUUUUCGUGGGGGAUAACGUAGGGAAACUUACGCUAAUACCGCAUACGACCUACGGGUGAAAGCAGGGGAUCUUCGGACCUUGCGCGAUUGAAUGAGACGAGGUCGGAUUAGCUAGUUGGCAGGGUAAAGGCACACCAAGGCGACGAUCCGUAGCUGGUCUGAGAGGAUGAUCAGCCACACUGGAACUGAGACACGGUCCAGACUCCUACGGGAGGCAGCAGUGGGGAAUAUUGGACAAUGGGCGCAAGCCUGAUCCAGCCAUACCGCGUGGGUGAAGAAGGCCUUCGGGUUGUAAAGCCCUGUUGUUGGGAAAGAAAAGCAGCAGGUUAAUACCCCGCUGUUCUGACGGUACCCAAAGAAUAAGCACCGGCUAACUUCGUG